This 69-nucleotide transfer RNA is filed under the name Ectomocoris horridus. RNAcentral's name for it is "tRNA-Val". Lineage: Eukaryota; Metazoa; Arthropoda; Insecta; Hemiptera; Reduviidae. The record is from RNAcentral.
CAAACUAGGGCUUUAGUAGUAAUUGUUAUUUACAUUAACAAGGGAGUUGUGCGAUUCAACUUAGUUUGA